Molecule: long non-coding RNA, 792 nt
Organism: Panicum virgatum (switchgrass)
Lineage: Eukaryota; Viridiplantae; Streptophyta; Magnoliopsida; Poales; Poaceae
Exons: 2
Source: RefSeq, a predicted model, not a curated record
CCGGAUGGCUUUGGCUGCAACCUUGCUCCGGUCCGCUAACAGCAUCAGCAUAUCUGAUCUGACAUCCGGGUCACCGCUUAUUCAGGCCCCGUUCGGCAGCACCCGGAGGCCCGGAACGAGGCCCAAUCCGGGCGGAUUGGGACGGCCCGGAACGAAAUCACCUGCGACCUGGAAUACCUGUUCGUUUCGGCCUGGCCCGGGAAUGAAGCCGGCCCGGUUUGGCUCCUCCCCUUGUUUCCAUCGCCUGGAAUGGAUCCAGGAGCCCUACCCCCGGCUCCAAUCCGUUCCCCGAUCCUUCUCUCGCGCGCGUGGCGGCGGCGCGAGGUUGAGGCGACGGCGACGGCCCGGCGGCGCGACACGCUCUCCGCUGCCUUCUCGCCGAUCUCGUCGAAGUAGCAUGUUGGCUAACUGGAGGCAUUAUGAAGUCGAGUGACCAGGAUUUGGUGGAUGGGCUCUCUACUGACCCCUAGUGUUAAACUAUGUUGUUUUAAUUUAUCUGCUUCAAGUUAAUGUUUUGAAAUUCAACCAAUUUAGCUUGGAUGUUUUUCUUGCUUAAGUUCUGCCGAACUCAUGGUACUGAUCAUUCGAUUUUUAGACCGGGGGAGAGCAUCAUACUAGCAGUAGUAUAUCACAUGUUUGGUUAGCAUCAUAAGAUUGAAAUGAUGGUCGAUUCAAGUUAGUUUUUUGUAUUUUUAUUUUUAUUGGGUGGUAUGUAAUCAAUGGAUGUUCAUUCGGCGUGAACUCAUGGUACUGAUCAAAAUAUGAAUACAGUUGAAAUGAUGUCGCUUGAAA